UGAGUUUAGCGUAUGGUCGCGGUUUCACCGAGGAAAGUCCGGACUCCGAGGGCUGGAUGCCGGGUAACACCCGGAAAGAGUGAUCUUUGGUAAGGGCCAUAGAAAAGGAAACCGCUGGCUGCAUUGCCAGCAAGGGUGGAAAGGUGAGGUAAGAGCUCACCAGAUCUGAAGUGAUUCAGGUGCUUGGCAACCCCCAUCCGGAGCAAUUCCAAGCAGAGGGGUUUGAGGCUGCCCGCCAAAUCCUCUCGGGUAGGAAGCUUGAGGUAUAUGGUAACAUAUGCCCCAGAUGGAUGACCAUAUAAACAGAAUCCGGCUUAUCGCUAGACUCGUUGU
Molecule: RNase P RNA, 333 nt
Filed under: Kosmotoga sp.
Lineage: Bacteria; Thermotogati; Thermotogota; Thermotogae; Kosmotogales; Kosmotogaceae
Description: Bacterial RNase P class A
Rfam family: Bacterial RNase P class A
About the family: Ribonuclease P (RNase P) is a ubiquitous endoribonuclease, found in archaea, bacteria and eukarya as well as chloroplasts and mitochondria. Its best characterised activity is the generation of mature 5'-ends of tRNAs by cleaving the 5'-leader elements of precursor-tRNAs.
Source: Rfam by way of RNAcentral